Molecule: transfer RNA, 72 nt
Filed under: Ovis aries (sheep)
Lineage: Eukaryota; Metazoa; Chordata; Mammalia; Artiodactyla; Bovidae
Rfam family: tRNA
About the family: Transfer RNA (tRNA) molecules are approximately 80 nucleotides in length.
Source: Rfam by way of RNAcentral
UCCCUGGUGGCUCAGAGGUUAAAGCAUCUGCCUGCAAUGUGGGAGAUCCAGGUUCGAUCCCUGGGUUGGGAA